This 1128-nucleotide long non-coding RNA is filed under the name Coturnix japonica (Japanese quail). Its description in RNAcentral is "lncRNA (ENSCJPG00005013872.1)". The record is from RNAcentral. Lineage: Eukaryota; Metazoa; Chordata; Aves; Galliformes; Phasianidae.
UCAGCAGAAGAAAAGUCAGUUUCUUUUGCGCACUAAACUGUCCAAGGCAUCAGCAAAGGGGGGGAAAACUGCUUUCUUGACAACAUGACCCUUUUUCACUGGUUCCAUUGUUGUGCUUUUCUUUUUUCUUCACAGAUCUGCCAGCUCUUCCCAGAAAGAGACUCUAGAACUGACAGGAGGAAAUUGAAUGCACUUUAAAUCUGAAAUCUGUCAUCAGAGUGGCAGUCUUCACAAACUCAACUUUUCAAAGCAGGAAAUGUAUAUUUGCAUGUGUUUUCAUAAUACCUAGUAUAAUAGACCUUUAAUUUUCACAAAGACCUCUGAAGCCUUGUGUUAUAAAUAUUUCAUAAUCAUGUAGCUGUGUCUUCAUCUCUGUCAACAUUGUCUUCAAACAUGCAGGAAAUAUUUUUUAUCACAGCCAGCAGCCACUUAAUAUGUGUAUCAGGAAGGACUUUAGUACAGAAGGCUUACUGAUCACCUGUGGAUAAUUUACUGCUAUUUUGCUUCACUCAGCCAUUCUCUUAACUGGAAAGGGGUGCAGGUGAGACUUCUUCAGCUAUAAGGAGUGGAUUUGUAUUAGCCACAUGAAGCCUUGUUUAAACUUGCAAAAGACUAUUGACACUAUCAAGUCAGAUGCCUGGCUGGCAGGUAUAAGUCCCUUAUAUAAUGACUGAAGCAUCCAGAAUGUAAUUCAGUACAUUUUGAAAAACGUCAGUUCUUUAGAUUGUGUUGAAUGGAGGAUUUUAGCAGUAAAAGCUAUAUACGGAAGCUCUCUUUAGCUCUCAUCAACGCUUUUCUUCCUACUGCUGUUCUCCAACUUAUGGCUUAUGGCAAAGUUACUUCUCUGGCAAAUUAUUGAGCUGUAUGUUAGAAACAAAGGAAUAAAACUGAUACAGCACUGCAACAGUACCAGAGACUUGGACUGAAAGGCAAAGGAUCCAGGAUUGUCCCCUUUUCUUCUGCUGAUGUAUCUGUAACACUGGCAUGGCCUUUCCUUCUGUAGUUUCAGACUCUAACUUCUUAUUGGAAAACUGCUGGAGACCUUUUCUUGCUAUGCUGUUAUUUGGAGAGAAUAAAGAAUCAUUUCUACUUCCAGCUCAGUUAAAGCUUCGUAAACCCACAGUUUGA